This 355-nucleotide ribosomal RNA is filed under the name Salmonella enterica. Its description in RNAcentral is "partial 16S ribosomal RNA". It matches the Rfam family "Bacterial small subunit ribosomal RNA", at positions 616 to 970 of the family's 1533-position model. RNAcentral also lists the same sequence under 2 other names. The record is from RNAcentral. Lineage: Bacteria; Pseudomonadati; Pseudomonadota; Gammaproteobacteria; Enterobacterales; Enterobacteriaceae.
GGGAACUGCAUUCGAAACUGGCAGGCUUGAGUCUUGUAGAGGGGGGUAGAAUUCCAGGUGUAGCGGUGAAAUGCGUAGAGAUCUGGAGGAAUACCGGUGGCGAAGGCGGCCCCCUGGACAAAGACUGACGCUCAGGUGCGAAAGCGUGGGGAGCAAACAGGAUUAGAUACCCUGGUAGUCCACGCCGUAAACGAUGUCUACUUGGAGGUUGUGCCCUUGAGGCGUGGCUUCCGGAGCUAACGCGUUAAGUAGACCGCCUGGGGAGUACGGCCGCAAGGUUAAAACUCAAAUGAAUUGACGGGGGCCCGCACAAGCGGUGGAGCAUGUGGUUUAAUUCGAUGCAACGCGAAGAACC